Molecule: long non-coding RNA, 442 nt
Filed under: Gallus gallus (chicken)
Lineage: Eukaryota; Metazoa; Chordata; Aves; Galliformes; Phasianidae
Source: RNAcentral
GCAUUCAUGCACAAAUUUAGUCUGUCGUUGCAGAGUACCACCAUACAACGCAACCAACUCCUCAUUAAAGUUGACACUGAAGAAAUUAAAAUGAUACUUGAAGUCAAGAUCUUCUGCUUUUCUAAGAGCAAUGGAGCCAAGAGAACGCACUUGUUUGUAACUGCCAGCAUUUCCAGGAAGAAAGAGAAUUGGAAUGCCUGUCAAUAUCAGAUUUUUGUUUUCUUCAGCAUAAUUCCCUUCUCCAUAGAGAUAGAGCUCAUACGCUGGAUAUCGCCUGGCUGUUUUCUUCGGUAAUUUUAUUUUCUGUUGCAGGUACUCGGGGUACUCGUACAUGUAGGUCAUGCUGCACCGGUUCUCCUCGUAAACGAACAGCACGUCCCGCACCCCCAGCAGCACCAGCGCCGCCAGAGCCCCGUAAAGCACCGCCGCCACCGCGGGCAGC